UUUUUUAAGUCUCCUCUAUAUAUUGUGUCCCUCUCUACUAUCUAGCGAAACCACAGCCAAGAGAACGGGCUUGUAAAAAUCAGCGGGGAAAGAAGACCUUGUUGAGCUUGACUCAAGUCUGACUCUGUGAAGAGUCAUGAGAGGUGUAGCAUAAAUGGGCGGCGUGGACUCUCGUGGUUGUGUCGUGCUGACAGUGAAAUACCACUACUUUCAUCGUUUCUUUACUUACUCUGUGAAGCAGAAAGCGCACCAUAACUGUCGACGCUUCUAGAACUAAGUGCAAGGCACUUCGUUGGCCCGCACGAUCUGUUACGAGUACAGUCUCAGGCGGGGAGUUUGACGGGGGCGGUACAUCUGUCAAAUAGAAACGCAGAUGUCCUAAGGCGAACUCAGCAAGGACAAAAACCUCGCGUUGAGCAAAAGGGCAAAUGCAUGCUCGAUCUUGAUUUUCAGCACGACUAGUGACCGCGAAAGCAGGGCCCUUCGAUCCUUUUGACUUUAAGAGUUUUAAAGGGGCACUCAAGUGGUUUUUGGGGAAGCUACUUGUUGGUUGGAUGGCGUUAAGGAAGUGUCAGUAAAUGAGUAUAUUUAGUUUUAGAAAGCAGAACCGCCUAUUAAUCACGCAUGAAUAGAAUACGUGUGGACUCUUUUCUGUUCCAGCGCCGACAAAUGAAGUUUUCGUAUGUUUGAAAAUUUUGGCGCCCUUUGCAAAGUUUCGCUAAAGAAACAAUUUUCAGUUAGUUUAGAUAUAUUGUGCACGAUAAUUGCACAAGACGUAAAAUAGUUCUAGUUUAGAAUACGCGAUACUGAAAUUAUUGUUU
This 821-nucleotide non-coding RNA is filed under the name Ixodes scapularis (black-legged tick). RNAcentral describes it as "Eukaryotic large subunit ribosomal RNA". It matches the Rfam family "Eukaryotic large subunit ribosomal RNA", at positions 1925 to 3401 of the family's 3401-position model. The record is from Rfam by way of RNAcentral. Lineage: Eukaryota; Metazoa; Arthropoda; Arachnida; Ixodida; Ixodidae.